GCCGGGGUAGCUCAGUCGGUAGAGCGAGCGCCUUGUAAGCGCGAGGUCGUGGGUUCGAGUCCCAUCCCCGGCU
Molecule: transfer RNA, 73 nt
Filed under: Actinomycetota bacterium
Lineage: Bacteria; Bacillati; Actinomycetota
Description: tRNA-Thr
Rfam family: tRNA
About the family: Transfer RNA (tRNA) molecules are approximately 80 nucleotides in length. Their secondary structure includes four short double-helical elements and three loops (D, anti-codon, and T loops).
Source: RNAcentral